CUGACCUCAGAUCAGGCAAGACUACCCGCUGAGUUUAAAGCAUAUCA
Molecule: ribosomal RNA, 47 nt
Filed under: Marchantia romanica
Lineage: Eukaryota; Viridiplantae; Streptophyta; Marchantiopsida; Marchantiales; Marchantiaceae
Description: partial 25S ribosomal RNA
Source: RNAcentral